GACGAACGCUGGCGGCGUGCUUAACACAUGCAAGUCGAACGGAAAGGCCCUGCUUUUGUGGGGUGCUCGAGUGGCGAACGGGUGAGUAACACGUGAGUAACCUGCCCUUGACUUUGGGAUAACUUCAGGAAACUGGGGCUAAUACCGGAUAGGAGCUCGUGCUGCAUGGUGGAGGUUGGAAAGUUUCGGCGGUUGGGGAUGGACUCGCGGCUUAUCAGCUUGUUGGUGGGGUAGUGGCUUACCAAGGCUUUGACGGGUAGCCGGCCUGAGAGGGUGACCGGCCACAUUGGGACUGAGAUACGGCCCAGACUCCUACGGGAGGCAGCAGUGGGGAAUAUUGCACAAUGGGCGGAAGCCUGAUGCAGCAACGCCGCGUGCGGGAUGACGGCCUUCGGGUUGUAAACCGCUUUCGCCUGUGACGAAGCGUGAGUGACGGUAAUGGGUAAAGAAGCACCGGCUAACUACGUG
RNAcentral lists this ribosomal RNA (468 nucleotides) under uncultured bacterium. RNAcentral's name for it is "partial 16S ribosomal RNA". It matches the Rfam family "Bacterial small subunit ribosomal RNA", at positions 28 to 507 of the family's 1533-position model. The record is from RNAcentral.